RNAcentral lists this ribosomal RNA (465 nucleotides) under uncultured bacterium. RNAcentral describes it as "bacterial SSU rRNA". It matches the Rfam family "Bacterial small subunit ribosomal RNA", at positions 338 to 795 of the family's 1533-position model. The record is from RNAcentral.
CCUACGGGCCGCAGCAGUGGGGAAUAUUGCACAAUGGGCGCAAGCCUGAUGCAGCCAUGCCGCGUGUAUGAAGAAGGCCUUAGGGUUGUAAAGUACUUUCAGUUGGGAGGAAGACGUUGAUGCUAAUAUCAUCAGCGAUUGACGUUACCAACAGAAGAAGCACCGGCUAACUCCGUGCCAGCAGCCGCGGUAAUACGGAGGGUGCAAGCGUUAAUCGGAAUUACUGGGCGUAAAGCGCACGCAGGCGGUUGAUUAAGUUAGAUGUGAAAUCCCCGGGCUUAACCUGGGAAUGGCAUCUAAGACUGGUCAGCUAGAGUCUUGUAGAGGGGGGUAGAAUUCCAUGUGUAGCGGUGAAAUGCGUAGAGAUGUGGAGGAACACCGGUGGCGAAGGCAGCCCCCUGGACAAGGACUGACGCUCAGGUGCGGAAGCGUGGGGAGCAAACAGGAUUAGAUACCCGAGUAGUC